CCUACGGGUGGCUGCAGUGGGGAAUAUUGGUCAAUGGGCGCAAGCCUGACCCAGCAACGCCGCGUGAAGGAAGAAGGCUUUCGGGUUGUAAACUUCUUUUAAGCGGGAAGAGCAGAAGACGGUACCUCUUGAAUAAGCCACGGCUAACUACGUGCCAGCAGCCGCGGUAAUACGUAGGUGGCAAGCGUUGUCCGGAUUUACUGGGUGUAAAGGGCGUGUAGCCGGGCUGACAAGUCAGAUGUGAAAUUCAGGGGCUCAACCCCGGACCUGCAUUUGAAACUGUUGGUCUGGAGUAUCGGAGAGGCAGGCGGAAUUCCUGGUGUAGCGGUGAAAUGCGUAGAUAUUAGGAGGAACACCAGUGGCGAAGGCGGCCUGCUGGACGACAACUGACGGUGAGGCGCGAAAGCGUGGGGAGCGAACAGGAUUAGAUACCCCAGUAGUC
This 442-nucleotide ribosomal RNA is filed under the name uncultured bacterium. RNAcentral's name for it is "partial 16S ribosomal RNA". It matches the Rfam family "Bacterial small subunit ribosomal RNA", at positions 338 to 795 of the family's 1533-position model. The record is from RNAcentral.